RNAcentral lists this unclassified non-coding RNA (5376 nucleotides) under Rhipicephalus microplus (southern cattle tick). RNAcentral's name for it is "sodium-independent sulfate anion transporter-like, transcript variant X3". Lineage: Eukaryota; Metazoa; Arthropoda; Arachnida; Ixodida; Ixodidae. The record is from RNAcentral.
GAAAAUUGGUGCAGCGGUGUACGUCGACGGGCCUGUGCUCUCUGUGAGACAUUGUGUGCUAACAUGGUGGCGUCCAGGAGGACGGAGUCGAGUGGUGCGUUCGAGGAACCCAAGAUCCAGCUGCUCAACCUGGCGCGCGCCGGUGACUGCCUGAACGAUGACUCCGGGGAACCCGAUGAUACGCCGGAGCCACCUCGGAGCGGCUUCGAGCGACUGUGCCGCGGAGCCCGCAACCAGUGUUGUUCGGUGCAGCGCUGGAAGAACCGCAUUCCCAUCACCAAGUGGCUACCACACUACUCCCUGCUGGACCUGCACGGGGACUUUGUGGCCGGCAUGACGGUUGCCCUCACGGUCAUCCCUCAGGGACUGGCUCUGGCCGUCCUUGCCGGGCUGCCUCCUCAGUAUGGCCUAUACACAGCAUUCAUGGGCAGCUUCAUGUACACCAUAUUUGGUAGCUGCAAGGAUCUCACCAUUGGUCCUACAGCCAUCAUGUCCAUCAUGACCGGCGAGUAUACGCACGUCGGUGGACCAACAUUUGCCAUCAUCCUCACAUUCCUCUCGGGCAUUAUCCAGAUUGUCAUGGGCUUGCUCAACCUAGGUUUCAUAGUGGAGUUCAUAUCUGGUCCUGUAAUCAGUGGAUUCACAUCAGCAGCUGCCAUCACCAUUGCAAGUACACAGCUCAAGUCUCUAUUUGGGAUGAAAUUUGAGGCUGAAGAGUUUCUCGACACAAUGUACCAGUUCUUCACGCAUCUUCACACCAUAAGGUUGGCAGAUUCCUUGCUGGGUGUCUCGUGUGUAAUUCUGCUGCUCCUCAUCAGGCAUUUCAAGGACCGGAAGUUCGGCCCAGAUUCCAGGCUCCCAUCUCGGGCACAAAAGAUUCUCGAGGGCAUCUGGUGGACCUUUGCAACAGCGCGCAAUGCCAUUGCUGUCCUGGUUUGUGCUGUGGUCGCAGCCAUCUUGCUGAACAACAACAUGCAGCCCUUUGCCCUUACGGAUGAGGUGAAAGGCGGCAUGCCCCCUUUCCAGGUGCCAAACUUCACGGCAGACAUCUUCGACACGAGCAACAACAAGACCAUCCACAUGAACUUCGUCGACAUUAUGAGGACACUUGGUGCAGGAAUUCCUAUCAUAGCCCUGCUGUCAAUUCUCGAAUCUGUCGCCAUUGCAAAGGCAUUCGCUAAAGGCAAGAGUCUCGACUCAACCCAGGAGAUGCUUGCGAUUGGUAUUUGUAAUCUGAUGGGGUCCUUCGUGAGUGCAUACCCUGGAACGGGCAGCUUUUCCAGAACUGCGAUUAACAACAACAGCGGUGUUCGUACGCCGAUGGGUGGAGUUUUCACCGGUGCCAUUGUGAUCAUGGCACUCGUGUUCAUGGCGCCCUACUUCAAGUACAUUCCCAAGGCCUCCCUGUCAGCCAUCAUCAUCACAGCUGUCAUCUUCAUGGUCCACUACCAGGAUGUGCCUGCCAUGUGGCGAACAAACCGCCUCGACCUGCUGCCCUUUGCUGCAACAUUCAUCGUGUCAUUUGUCCUUGGCUUGGAGUACGGCAUCAUUGUUGGCGUGGUCAUCUCCCUUGUUCUGCUGAUGUACGAGCAUGCCAGGCCACGAGUGAAGAUCACCAAGAAGCAGACGAUGUCGGGCAUUCCAUAUGUCCUUGUGUCUCCUGACCGGACCGUGCUGUAUCCCUCCUCGAUGUACACCACCGACAAGAUCACCAAGGCUCUGCCCGACACCAAGGACGCCUCCCCGCGAUUCGUGGUCUACGACGGCGUCCACAUCAACGUCGUUGACUACACUACCUGCAUUGCUUUCAAGAGUCUCAGCGACAACUUUGCCAAGCAGCAGGCCACAUUGAUCUACGUUAACCUCAAGCCAUCUGUGGCCGAUGCCCUGCAAGGUGCAGGGCCUGUAAACUUCUACAGUUGCAAAUCUGAUAAGGAGCUCGAUUCUCUUAUCUCUGCGGCUUGCGCUCACACCAAUAUGGCUCUCUUGUCGACGUGCAAGCCUGGAGAUGAGGAUGACUAUAGUGCUGAUGAUGAUGGAAAUUAUAGUGAACAGCCCGUUUCUGGGAUGGCUCACCCUGCCGUGAAGGUGUGAUGCCCAGGGCUGGUCACACCUGCUUGAAAAGAUGGGAACAUGACAAGAUUACUGCAUGUCACAGUGGAAAGGGGCAUCGUCAACUCUGAGCAAUGGCUCCACGUCUGUACCUGAGGCCACGUGGGGGGACACGCUUGAUAGCUCUACACCCCCCGAUGCCAACUCCUGAGAGUUGUCUUCAAGCCACUGGCAUUCGACGCUCAGAAUAUCUGUUCCCGUUAGAGUGAAGAUUUCCAUUCUGGAAUGAUGAGCUGACAUGUCUGCUUGCUGGAAGGAAAACAACUCGUGUUGUGUUUAAGUGUUCGGACCAAUUUGUUCAUGUGUGGUCCGGUCUUCUUGAAGUACGACUCUACUUUAUGGGGCAUAGACCCAGUAUUUUCUCUUUUGGAAGCUGUUGAACAGUUUCUAUGCUCCUAAUUACUAGAAGUAAUGCAGCUCGUUAACUUUACUUGGGCAUUACCCUCAAUAAAUUAACCUUCGCACAUAAGCUUUUGCGCAGCUAAAGGAUGUUUCUCGUACGCAAGUGCAGACAGUCAUGCCAUGUGUUUAAGAUAAGCGAAGAAUAAGAAUGAUUUUAUUGACUAGGAAGAUGUGCAAGUUGUGGGCAGGUUCCACAGAACAAACUUUGAAAUCCCCGAAUUGCCCUGUCACAACCUAGUGAUGCCUCAUGGAGGUAUAACUGUUCUCCUUUAUAUGCAGACAACUGGCAAAAACAUGAUUACACUGAUGGUGGACCUAUUACUCCACAUAGGUUGAUGUAGCUUUUUCAUGCCAAUCAUGCCUUCUUUUGUGGCCAUGUUAUUUGAUAAAAGUUAAACAGUCAGACGAAACUUCGAUGAAACUUCUGUGCUGAAACUAAAGACACAACGAAGUAUGAUUCCAUACCAUAAUUGUUUUUAUGUGCUGGCCUUUCAUUGAUAUUUUUUUGUGCCCCUUUGAAAGGGCUAUUGUACUGGCGUGCUUCUCACACGUGCAAGCAUUAUCUUCAUCUGUGCCAGAGCCUAAGGGUCAACCUAGUCAGCGAAUGUUGUUGAUUGCUUGCCCGUGCGGUACACAUUUAUUGGGCUUUGCACUGCGAUAGCAUUGUGCUACAUUGUAAAUAUGUAUAUAUUAUGGUAUUUCUUCCAUUGAUUUUGCUGGCGCUAUCUCACCAAACCUUUGCAGUGCAUUUGAAGCCACAGGAACUAUUCAAAUGCAGGGAUGUAAAACAGAAAAGCCGUUUUUUCACAGCAUAAAUUUUGAACUGGAACAAACAAGCCAAUGGCAUGUGUGCUUUUGUCAGUUUAAAUUGGAUGCACAUUCGCACAGCCCUUCAUGUGUCUAGUUUAUUUGAUCUUGUCUGGUCAUGUUCCUUGCCAUAUUAGAAAUAUUAAUAUACAGGAUCAUAGAGCAGUUAGUUAUGUAGAAUUUGUAAAUACGUUUUCUUCCUCGGAACUUGCAGGGGUAUCUGUUUUCCUGAUUGGGCCACUAACUUCUACAGCACUGCAAGGGAUUGGUGGGACAGAGUUUGUGACGUUGUGAUGGCAGGACUCAGCGGUAACGCUUGCAGAAGUGGGGAAGCUUCAGUGAGAGCUUUCGCUACUACGUACAGGCUUCAAAAGGAAACAACUUGCAGAGACAAUACAAAGUGAGGGAGACAAACAAUAACAUUAACCGGUGACUUUACUCUUUAAACUCUAACUUCGUUGUAACAGUCACAUCUGCCAUGAAAGCAACUUCGUUAUGUCCGAAAAUUUGUCACACUGUGUCCACGACAAAACUAUCUUUCAUUUGCUUCGUUAUAACCGAAAAUUCGUUAUACCUGUAUAUGUUAUAUAGAGGUUAGAGAUUUAUGAAAGAAGCACGAAUAUAGAACAUUGGAAACCACUGCAUACCACUGCGCAUAACCAAAGGCGAAGGAGCUGCAAUCAUAUUUCACCAGUAUUAUUGCGGUCGUUAGGAUAUAUUAACUCUGUGUCAGUUAAUGCCACAGAUGUACCACGAAGUGAGAGCUAACACUCCUUUUUUUGGACCAGUAGUAGCUUGGGUAGCUUGGAGAUUUGAUUUGCACAAACAUCAUUGUAGCACUUGGGGACUGAGCAAAUGCGGUUAAUGUCCUUCGCGUAGGGCAUUGACAACCUUCAGCCUUGAUGAAAUAGUGCCUUCUGUGUGUUGUAGCCAUAAGUUCUGUUGCUUACGUUUGAGUAAGCUUGAAGUGUUUUUCUUCAACAAUUGUGAAUUUUGGUCGUUCUUAAUGAUAUACCGUAUAAGCAAAAGCACCUGUUAUGCUCUAUAGCCACAUUCAUGGAACUUCUUUGAUUGUUAUGUAGUGUUAUGUAGUGAUUACAGUUUUAGAAAUUAAACGCAGUGGUGUUGCUUGUGAAUUUUGCCAUUUCUCAAUUGAACCUGGUAUAGCUUCACUAUCACUCCAAGCAAAGAACACAGUAUUUUUGCUGCACUUUUAAUUUUUAGUUGUUUGGUCACUACUGCUAUAGUUUUUCACGUAAAUAUAGUUGUUUUGUUACAUCCAUUCUAUGAGGCAUUUUUUCUACUCUUUAGAUGUUUUCGUGCUUUAAUGAAGUGCUGCUAUUGCUCAAAAUAGACCACUGUGUGCUAUGUACAACAGACUGUAGUACAGCACUCUGCGAGCUGCUAAGCUGGGCAAAAUGCAGUGUGGUCUUCUCUACAGAAGUGCCUUGUGUUGACAGCUGUGCUGUUUUUUUAGCACAUUUUUUAUGAGUGCUAUUUUUAGUUAGCAAACAACACUUUUUUAUUCAUGCUGUGCAUGAGAGAUGCCUUAAAAAAAUUUGUGAUGUGCAGUCUACUUACAAUGAGGACGGGAACAGGAGACAGCAACGUAUGUAACAAUGUCCGGGACCACGAAUUGGUGCAUUUUUCUACAGCCAAGGUUUCCUGUGGCUUGUAUGAUGACGAUCUGUAAAGCAUGACUGCUGCACAUGGCUUGGUAUGUGCGUGGAAAGAUUGUGUAAAUGUAGUUUUGAUGAACUGCGGAGUGAGCAACGCUGUGAUGUGGGAGGGAACUAUUUCAAUCAGGUCUUGCCCUUUUUGCAGGCUUUACAUUGGCAACCUUAACGGUGACCCUUUCUUCCAAGAAAACCACGUAACUCAUUCUUUCUGGCUCUAAUCCUGAAAUGCCUACGUACUGCACAGAUGUUAGGAAAUUUGAACAGUUUUUGAACAGCGACGAUACAUGUGACAAUCAGUGUUGUGCGCUCUAUUGAGUGCACCUGCUAGUCUGUUGUUAUUCUCGAAACAAUAAAACCUAUAUUUAUGUGCAACUUU